GGGAGAUCUGACAGGUUCUAAGAGAAGGGAGACCAAGAUACAUGAGAUCUGUGGAACAGCAAGAGAUGAAAAAGACCCUUUUUGUGGGUGAAAGAGCAGCUCAAAUUCUGCAGUCAAGCUUGUGCUUCUGCUGGAGUCACAGUAAGAGUGACAGCUGCAGUGAUGAAUUUCAGUAUGAAGAUUGUAUGAACAUCACCCCAUUCCUCAAAGAACUGGCUAAUGCUGCCAUGCAUUUCACACAGCCUUCUUUCAGGUAUCAGGUGGCAACUCCUUUUGGUCAUUAGUGGCUUGGACUGACACUGAAAUGUUAAGUAGUCCUAAAGAUUACAAAUCCAUCACCAGCUGGAUCUGAGCAGCUUCCCAGUUCAAUUACUAUGUGCAAAAAGAUGUCCUGACCUUUAGGUUUUUAGUAACAUCACUUUGCUUGUAGGAAGAGUUCAAGGACCAAAAAGCUGCCAGAUGUGGAAGGA
This 470-nucleotide long non-coding RNA is filed under the name Junco hyemalis (dark-eyed junco). RNAcentral describes it as "lncRNA (ENSJHYG00000015381.1)". The record is from RNAcentral. Lineage: Eukaryota; Metazoa; Chordata; Aves; Passeriformes; Passerellidae.